RNAcentral lists this ribosomal RNA (492 nucleotides) under uncultured bacterium. RNAcentral describes it as "partial 16S ribosomal RNA". It matches the Rfam family "Bacterial small subunit ribosomal RNA", at positions 29 to 507 of the family's 1533-position model. The record is from RNAcentral.
AGUGAACGCUGGCGGUAGGCCUAACACAUGCAAGUCGAACGGCAGCACAGUAAGAGCUUGCUCUUACGGGUGGCGAGUGGCGGACGGGUGAGGAAUACAUCGGAAUCUACUUUUUCGUGGGGGAUAACGUAGGGAAACUUACGCUAAUACCGCAUACGACCUACGGGUGAAAGCAGGGGAUCUUCGGGCCUUGCGCGACUGAAUGAGCCGAUGUCGGAUUAGCUAGUUGGCGGGGUAAAGGCCCACCAAGGCGACGAUCCGUAGCUGGUCUGAGAGGAUGAUCAGCCACACUGGAACUGAGACACGGUCCAGACUCCUACGGGAGGCAGCAGUGGGGAAUAUUGGACAAUGGGCGCAAGCCUGAUCCAGCCAUACCGCGUGGGUGAAGAAGGCCUUCGGGUUGUAAAGCCCUUUUGUUGGGAAAGAAAAGCAGCAGGUUAAUACCCCGCUGUUCUGACGGUACCCAAAGAAUAAGCACCGGCUAACUUCGUG